This 460-nucleotide ribosomal RNA is filed under the name uncultured bacterium. RNAcentral's name for it is "partial 16S ribosomal RNA". It matches the Rfam family "Bacterial small subunit ribosomal RNA", at positions 338 to 795 of the family's 1533-position model. The record is from RNAcentral.
CCUACGGGUGGCAGCAGUGAGGAAUAUUGGUCAAUGGACGCAAGUCUGAACCAGCCAUACCGCGUGCAGGAAGACGGCUCUAUGAGUUGUAAACUGCUUUUGUAGGGGGGUAAACGCAGAUACGUGUUUCUGUCUGCAAGUAUCCUACGAAUAAGGAUCGGCUAACUCCGUGCCAGCAGCCGCGGUAAUACGGAGGAUUCAAGCGUUAUCCGGAUUUAUUGGGUUUAAAGGGUGCGUAGGUGGUUGGAUAAGUUAGAGGUGAACGCCUGUGGCUCAACUUUGGAAUUGCCUAUGAAACUGGUAGGCUAGAGAGUAGUUGCGGUAGGCGGAAUGUAUGGUGUAGCGGUGAAAUGCUUAGAGAUCAUGCAGAACACCGAUUGCGAAGGCAGCUUACCAAGCUACAACUGACGUUGAGGCACGAAAGCGUGGGGAGCAAACAGGAUUAGAUACCCCUGUAGUC